AUCCAUCUGACGACUUCCAAAUAGGGUGAAACGCGCGUUGUGGAU
Molecule: non-coding RNA, 45 nt
Organism: Schistosoma rodhaini
Lineage: Eukaryota; Metazoa; Platyhelminthes; Trematoda; Strigeidida; Schistosomatidae
Source: Rfam